This 347-nucleotide ribosomal RNA is filed under the name uncultured bacterium. RNAcentral describes it as "bacterial SSU rRNA". It matches the Rfam family "Bacterial small subunit ribosomal RNA", at positions 1 to 334 of the family's 1533-position model. The record is from RNAcentral.
UACGACGUAUCAGAGUUUGAUCCUGGCUCAGGAUGAACGCUAGCGGCAGGCUUAACACAUGCAAGUCGAGGGGCAGCAUAAUGAAGUAGCAAUACGGAAUUGAUGGCGACCGGCGCACGGGUGCGUAACGCGUAUGUAACCUACCUCUAACAGGGGGAUAACACUGAGAAAUUGGUACUAAUACCCCAUAACACUUCGGAGGGCAUCCUCUGGGGUUGAAAGUUCCGGCGGUUAGAGAUGGACAUGCGUUGUAUUAGCUAGAUGGUGAGGUAAUGGCUCACCAUGGCGACGAUACAUAGGGGGACUGAGAGGUUAACCCCCCACAUUGGUACUGAGACACGGACCAA